RNAcentral lists this ribosomal RNA (254 nucleotides) under uncultured prokaryote. Its description in RNAcentral is "partial 16S ribosomal RNA". It matches the Rfam family "Bacterial small subunit ribosomal RNA", at positions 524 to 777 of the family's 1533-position model. The record is from RNAcentral.
UACGGAGGGGGCUAGCGUUGUUCGGAAUUACUGGGCGUAAAGCGUACGUAGGCGGCUUUGUAAGUUAGAGGUGAAAGCCCAGAGCUCAACUCUGGAAUUGCCUUUAAGACUGCAUCGCUUGAAUCGUGGAGAGGUUAGUGGAAUUCCGAGUGUAGAGGUGAAAUUCGUAGAUAUUCGGAAGAACACCAGUGGCGAAGGCGACUAACUGGACACGUAUUGACGCUGAGGUACGAAAGCGUGGGGAGCAAACAGGA